RNAcentral lists this long non-coding RNA (262 nucleotides) under Phoenix dactylifera (date palm). RNAcentral describes it as "long non-coding RNA (PDAC_LNC008719)". Lineage: Eukaryota; Viridiplantae; Streptophyta; Magnoliopsida; Arecales; Arecaceae. The record is from RNAcentral.
GGUGGUGUAGUGACUAGUUGUUGGUUUAGUUGCUGCACUUCUCAGACUACUGCCGCCAAAGUCUACACUUGCUGCACAAGCAGGUUGAACUACUCUAUAGUCACUCUCUCGUAGGUGAUUGUGGGGCUUGAGAUCUUUGAGGUCUAUGUCAAGAGUCACUAGACUCCUGUUGAGGUUAGUUGGUGGUGGACUGAUGAUUGCUUUUUUAGAAAUUCAUCUCUCUCAAAUCUCUAGAGAAACAUCGAAGAUCUUUUCUCUAGCG